UAAGGGAACAUAAAUGCCAGCCCAGG
This 26-nucleotide non-coding RNA is filed under the name Mus musculus (house mouse). Lineage: Eukaryota; Metazoa; Chordata; Mammalia; Rodentia; Muridae. The record is from RNAcentral.